ACCGGCUAAAAUGGCGUCUACGCCAUUACGUCAGGUGUCAGAUCCGCGCACGACUAGAGGGCGGGAAAGAUUUGAGCUACGCCUGCGCAGAGCUGAGAAGCUGAUGUCUCCUCGACUUCCAACUGGAACCUUGAACCCCCACAUUCCUGGACCUUGAGCAUUCCUCAAGUAGGAAGAUGUAAUGCACCUUGACCUCUUUCUAAAUAAGACACUUCCCCAAAUAAGGGGAGUUGAGAGUGAACAGUCUUCACGUCUCCACCCACUUCCAGAUUCCAGAGGAGACAGACAUCGGAUGGCUGUUGCCUCCUCCUAAAAUGUCUGCAUUUACCCAGAUAAUCUUCCAAUGGAAAUCCAUGGUUCAAGUGCCACCUCUUCAGGAAAGCCAUCUGGCUUCAAUCAGAAUCGACCACGGAAAUUUGACACCUCCGGGCUUGGAAGCAGCUCUCUCCUCCUUCCCCGCUGCUUAUAAACCUCAGCCCUGAGGCUCCAGCUCACUCUACCCCAUCUC
Molecule: small RNA, 508 nt
Filed under: Pongo abelii (Sumatran orangutan)
Lineage: Eukaryota; Metazoa; Chordata; Mammalia; Primates; Hominidae
Description: processed transcript
Source: RNAcentral